UACAGAGGUCCCAAGCGUUGUUCGGAUUCACUGGGCGUAAAGGGUGCGUAGGUGGUCGGGUAAGUCUGAUGUGAAAUCUUCGAGCUCAACUCGAAAAUGGCAUUGGAUACUAUUCGGCUGGAGGGUUGGAAGGGGGACUGGAAUUCUCGGUGUAGCAGUGAAAUGCGUAGAUAUCGAGAGGAACACCGGUGGCGAAGGCGAGUCCCUGGACAAUUCCUGACACUGAAGCUCGAAAGCUAGGGGAGCAAACGGG
This 253-nucleotide ribosomal RNA is filed under the name uncultured bacterium. Its description in RNAcentral is "partial 16S ribosomal RNA". It matches the Rfam family "Bacterial small subunit ribosomal RNA", at positions 524 to 776 of the family's 1533-position model. The record is from RNAcentral.